RNAcentral lists this ribosomal RNA (300 nucleotides) under Triticum aestivum (bread wheat). RNAcentral describes it as "partial small subunit ribosomal RNA". The record is from RNAcentral. Lineage: Eukaryota; Viridiplantae; Streptophyta; Magnoliopsida; Poales; Poaceae.
AUGCCUACGAUCACACCGUCGCCACCUAAAAGGUAUGCGCCCUCGCCCCCUUUUAUUCUCUUGCCCUUUCCGCCUUGCUGGGAGAAGAUGUAUGUGUGUUCUGUUUUAGACAAUGGUGUUCAUGUAAGCGUGUUCACGUCAUGUUCCGUUCUGCAAUGCACAAGUACUAUGUUCUCUUUUAUUUCUGGAAUCGUGUCUAUUCGCACAAGUACUAUGCACACAGCAACACAUGGUCUAUACUGCUGCAAAUUGUUCUGCGUUAGCUUUGAAUCUGUUAGUGAAGUUGUUAUUGUAUGGUAA